Molecule: ribosomal RNA, 424 nt
Filed under: uncultured bacterium
Lineage: Bacteria
Description: bacterial SSU rRNA
Rfam family: Bacterial small subunit ribosomal RNA
Source: RNAcentral
GGGAAUAUUGGACAAUGGGCGAAAGCCUGAUCCAGCCAUGCCGCGUGUGUGAAGAAGGUCUUCGGAUUGUAAAGCACUUUAAGUUGGGAGGAAGGGCAGUAAGCUAAUACCUUGCUGUUUUGACGUUACCGACAGAAUAAGCACCGGCUAACUUCGUGCUAGCAGCCGCGGUAAUACGAAGGGUGCAAGCGUUAAUCGGAAUUACUGGGCGUAAAGCGCGCGUAGGUGGUUUGAUAAGUUGGAUAUGAAAGCCCCGGGCUCAACCUGGGAAUUGCAUCCAAAACUGUCUGACUAGAGUAUGGCAGAGGGUGGUGGAAUUUCCUGUGUAGCGGUGAAAUGCGUAGAUAUAGGAAGGAACACCAGUGGCGAAGGCGACCACCUGGGCUAAUACUGACACUGAGGUGCGAAAGCGUGGGGAGCAAAC